UCAUAGUGGCUCAUCCUCUUCGGGUUUUUUAGCUCUCUUCUAUUUGGUUUGGAUUGUUUUUAUUUUUAUUGUAAUAGACGGGUAUUCUUUUUCCUUCACAGGUGUUUUUUCCACUGGGUAUUCGUCGGAUAGGUUUAAUGAGGCUCGACCUUUAGUUAGCUUCUUUGUGCUCUCAAGGUUUUUUAGGUUUUUUUUUUUUUUUUAUUUUUAUAAAAUUUCAUUUCAGCAAUGGAACUAGUCGAUUGAUGAUAAUAAUACUUGGAUAUAAUGUUUUGAAAGCGAAAAUUCUUACAGGAGAUAAUGUAGAUAAAAAAAAAAUUGAUUCCAAGAAUGUCAUUGACUCAUGCCGAUCAAAGAUUGUCUUUUAAGUUUGAACAACGACAAUCCCC
Molecule: long non-coding RNA, 389 nt
Filed under: Salvia miltiorrhiza (redroot sage)
Lineage: Eukaryota; Viridiplantae; Streptophyta; Magnoliopsida; Lamiales; Lamiaceae
Description: long non-coding RNA (SMIL_LNC012311)
Source: RNAcentral